Molecule: long non-coding RNA, 713 nt
Filed under: Homo sapiens (human)
Lineage: Eukaryota; Metazoa; Chordata; Mammalia; Primates; Hominidae
Description: HSALNT0379139
Source: RNAcentral
CCUGGCGUCAUAACGGCCAAGGCCGGGCCACCCUGGCUGGAGGGCGCACGGGAGGGGCGCAACGUGACGUUUGGGAGUACAGAGCCAGGGAGAGGGGGCCAAGUCAGGGGCCGCCGCACAGUAUAGGACGUGAGGAAGGAGGAGCCCGCUGCCCCGCUCCCCUACCUCAGCGUCGGGUCUACCCUGCCCACCUUCACCAUGUCACAGCAAGAUGCGCCCCCUUUGGCCCAGCCCCCAGGUGACACACGGCCCGGAACUUUGACCCGCCUUGUGCAAAUGACUUGCUGAUUUUAUCUUCAAAACGUGUUUGGAAUCCCACCACUUUGUCUCUCCAUGCCACCACCCUCGAGGCCCACAGCUGCUCUAGCCUGGAUCGUGGCGACCAUCUCGCAGCUGGCCGCCCUGCUUCUCCUGUGCAGGGCAAGCCUUUCCAAGCCAGGCCACCUCACGCCUCACCAUGGGGCCUUUGCCAUGGAGCCUCCCUCUUCCUUAUCUUGCCCCCGAGCCCCUGGCUGUUGCCUGACGCCCCUUCUCUCGUCGCUCACUCUCUGGUGCCUCCCUAGUAGCCACACUGGCCCCCUUGCUGCAGCCCCGAGCCCGGUGCACAGCCUGCUCAGUCCUCUAGCCCCCUUGCUGCUGGCCCGAGCCCGGUGCACAGCCUGCUCAGUCCUCUGGCCCCCUUGCUGCAGCCCCGAGCCCGGUGUACAGCCUGC